This 1196-nucleotide long non-coding RNA is filed under the name Triticum aestivum (bread wheat). Its description in RNAcentral is "long non-coding RNA (TAES_LNC008326)". Lineage: Eukaryota; Viridiplantae; Streptophyta; Magnoliopsida; Poales; Poaceae. The record is from RNAcentral.
UCACUAAAUAAAUCCGUAUCCUUAUAGUAAAGGUGUUGUGCUUCUCUUCACAUAACUUUUCUUACAUUUUGAGUGCCUUUUGGCACUAUCAGUAACCAAAGUAAAGUCACUUACAACUCUGAAUGCUCUAGUGCAGAAACACCAGUGACUACAUUUCUCAUGAACCUUCUGCUUGAAUAAGUCGACAUCACCUCGACAGACGACGCCUGAAUUCACAGACCAUGGCCAUCGCCCAUAAUAAUUUGUAUGUAUAUAAGAGAAAUCUGUCAUAAACAAAAGGGAUUUCACCUUUACACAGUUAAUACAAAAGAAUGACCUAAAAUCAAAUGCCUCUAGAUUAAACAAAAAUCGAGAACAGAAUUGUUCACCCAUCAGCAUGAAAGGAAUGGUGUGCUUUAUACAGAAAGGAAUGAUGUGCUUUAUAAAAGUGAGCACACUACAUGGAUGCAAUGGUCGUGUGGUGAUAAUCUGCAUCGAGAUUGGUCAUUCAUAUUUCAUCUAUGAUCUGUAAAUAGUCGAAAAAGAAAUUCCACUUCAAGAUGAAAAACACAAUAGCAUGGGUAUUGAAUUGCAAGAUGGGCCUUGUUUCAAAACUAUAUCACAUCCCACUGGUGGUACUGUUUUCCUUUUAUUGUAAACGGCCUAAUUCCCAAACAGCCAUGUUUCCGACAAUAGAGUUAUCAGAAAAUUUAAGAGAAUUCCAUCGCAAAAUCUGCAAAAAUCUAAAACCUACACAAAGAUCAAAGAGAAUUACUUCGAAGAACACUCUGAAAUUUGUGUGACCUUACAUGCACACAACAACUGUGAUCUAACUCUUCUUUUUGCAGGCUUAUGAUCUAUUUCCUUGAAAAUCAAAAUAUAUGCUUCAUAGUAUCUCCUUCUGUUUAGUACAGAACCUUGACCAUGAAACAUGAUCACAAAUUCAGAUUUUCUAUACUGCAAGUUCAUGCUAGAACCAGAUAUUCACUUGUGAUAUAUGGAUCAAGCAAUAGAGAGAGAGAGGGGGGGAUUGGGAACUUACAACUGAGGAUGUGAGUGGACGAAAGGGACAGCCUCGAUUCAUCUGUCGUCCAAAGCCGCCAUGAAAAGGGGGGCAGAGAUGGUGGGGUUGACUUGCUGCAUAAGGCCAGCAGUGGUUGUGUUACUGAGUUAUAAGCAAAGAUGAAAUGAACAUUCAAAGCCAGCUAUCAUCCAGG